RNAcentral lists this ribosomal RNA (441 nucleotides) under uncultured bacterium. Its description in RNAcentral is "SSU rRNA". It matches the Rfam family "Bacterial small subunit ribosomal RNA", at positions 26 to 518 of the family's 1533-position model. The record is from RNAcentral.
AGAGCGAACGCUGGCGGCAGGCCUAACACAUGCAAGUCGAGCGCCCCGCAAGGGGAGCGGCAGACGGGAGAGUAACACGUGGGAACGUACCCUUCAGUUCGGAACAACCCAGGGAAACUUGGGCUAAUACCGGAUACGUCCGUAAGGAGAAAGAUUUAUCGCUGAAGGAUCGGCCCGCGUCUGAUUAGCUAGUUGGUGGGGUAACGGCUCACCAAGGCGACGAUCAGUAGCUGGUCUGAGAGGAUGAUCAGCCUCACUGGGACUGAGACACGGCCCAGACUCCUACGGGAGGCAGCAGUGGGGAAUAUUGGACAAUGGGCGCAAGCCUGAUCCAGCCAUGCCGCGUGGGUGAUGAAGGCCCUAGGGUUGUAAAGCCCUUUCGGCGGGGAAGAUAAUGACGGUACCGCAGAAGAGCCCGGCUAACUUCGCGCCAGCAGCCGC